Molecule: non-coding RNA, 224 nt
Organism: Paramuricea clavata
Lineage: Eukaryota; Metazoa; Cnidaria; Anthozoa; Malacalcyonacea; Plexauridae
Source: the annotation of a GenBank genome assembly
AUUUGUCAAGGCAAGCUAUUAUGGAAUACAGGACUUGCGUAUUCUAGGAUUGGUCUUAUGCACGUUGUAAAGAAUAGGACAAGUUCUUUCUUGCCAACUCUCGCUCUCUUAAGUUGGGAGAGAAAAUAGAGACGCUUUCGCGCCUUCGAUAUAAUUUGGUCAAUGUGAUUGUUCCAUUUCAAGUUGUAAGAAACGCUCAGAUCAAGGAUUUUAGCACUGUCGAC